Molecule: ribosomal RNA, 253 nt
Filed under: uncultured bacterium
Lineage: Bacteria
Description: partial 16S ribosomal RNA
Rfam family: Bacterial small subunit ribosomal RNA
Source: RNAcentral
UACGGAGGGUGCGAGCGUUAAUCGGAAUUACUGGGCGUAAAGCGCACGCAGGCGGUUUGUUAAGCUAGAUGUGAAAGCCCCGGGCUCAACCUGGGAUGGUCAUUUAGAACUGGCAGACUAGAGUCUUGGAGAGGGGAGUGGAAUUCCAGGUGUAGCGGUGAAAUGCGUAGAUAUCUGGAGGAACAUCAGUGGCGAAGGCGACUCCCUGGCCAAAGACUGACGCUCAUGUGCGAAAGUGUGGGUAGCAAACGGG